GGCAACAAGUGUUUAGGGUUUCAUCCUCCCAUGUCCUGCAAGUUUGCCUUAUUAUUCAUUCUUUUAUUUUUGUGAUAGAAAUGUUUUCAUUUUUAGUUUACAAGAAACAUUUGAUUUAAUUUAAUUUAAUUUUAAUUUGUAAGUGAUGAAGUCAAGGGCUGAAGCAAUAUAGGGGAGAGCAGUAUUAAACUGUGGCUCUGAAAUACCCAUAGGUUUUCUAUGGGGUGCCCUGCUUUUCAAGCCCUAAACAUCAAAAUUAAAAUGGUAUCAUAGUACGGAUUUUGUGCUUUCUACACAAAUCCGCCUCCAAACGCCAUUACAUCACAACCAUACACUUCAUUACUCUCUUCUCUCUAUUUAUUUAACUUGUUUUCAUUUGAUUUGGUGUUUCUUUAAUAACCUAAACCUUAGAUUCUUGAACCUAUAGCUUAAAAUGGUGAGAUCUGUAUAAAUUUCAUACUAAUGAGUAUUGAGAUUUUGAAUAAUGAGAUCUGGCUUUUACUUGACAUGUGGAAAUUCGGAAUAAACUAUCCAGCGUUCCGUAUGAGUUAGAUGAGGACAGGAGGAACCGGACCACCAAUGCGUUGUUGCGGUCAAAAUAUGGUUAAAUCACGACCAUAACCUGUAUCCUAACCUUCUUUAAAUGUAUGCAGCUGUGGUUUGGCUUUAGAAAUGCUGUUGUGUUUGUGUGUGAUGGUGGGAAUGAUGUUUUACUUGUCGGUGUUGUAGUUUAUAUAUGUAGUUAAUUAAUCUGGCCAUGUCUGCAGCAAAGUCUAAUAGUGCAUUGUGAGUUUAUUUAUUAUACUUGGGGUAGUUAAGAAUGUGAUGAUUAAAGCAGGUACUUCUGAUAUAUGGUUUGACACAUCUAGUGUGGAUUCUCUUGGUGCAGCAGCUUACUACAUUGUAGGUGAUGCUGUGCCGGGCAUCUGGACUGUGUCUGCAUGAUUAUACAAUUAACUGCUCACUGAUUUUUUCACUGUCCAAGUUAUUCAUAAUACAAUACAAUGAUUAAGCAAUAGAAAGCUAUUUAUACUACUUGGAUUGGUGAUUUGUUCAGCUACAAUUUCUAUAUGUAGGUGAUUGUAAGUAUUUUUGUGACUCUAAGUUGUUAACUUAUGCAAUGUUAUGACUUGUUACAACACACUUGAAGAUGUGAGUUAUCCUUUGGUAAUAUUUUUUAUUGCGGAUUUAGUGUUAAUGUUUCACUCCAUAAAUCAUCCAUAUGCAUGUGCAUAUCAAGUCUUAUUCUGCGGUGCAGAAUCCUUUUCAUCAUAAGACAUUUUUAUCACAAGUGAUGUUCAAUUCUGGAAAUCAUGGAUAGUUGUACUGCAUAUUUAUGGAUAUGAACUUAAGAUAUUUGAGGUCAAUUGGAAAGAAAAAAUGGCCAUACAAUGGAACAAGACUUCAAUAAUAUUUUACACCUCAAAUUGAAGAAAACAAUCAAGUAUGUACGAGUUGGUAAUAACUUAGUUUUUGGCAUCACAGGUACCACCAAUGAGUCAGUGACUCUAAUUUUGGAAUCAUUCUCAUCAAAGCAAGAUAUUGUUAAAUGUAAAUGCUACCAAAGUUGACCAAUAUAAGUGUUGUCUGCUCAUUGAAUCUCCUUGGUGUUGAUAUACCCUUCACCAUCUGUACCUGUUAAUAUCAGUUGGAAGUUUUGUAACCGCAGAAUUGUUUACUUUCAUGUAUGGAAGAGCUUGAUGCUCUCUAAAGAUUUGAUAAAUCAAACCUUUUUGUUUGUUUCUAUCAACUCCAGCAAAUAUAAAUAAGUAAACAAAGUGGGCAUUAAAUUGAUUGAUGAUCGUCGAUAAUCUCAAUUACUACUGCUUCUAAGGGAAUGUUAGUUCUUGUUUCUUGUGUCUUAGGCUUAGUGACUAGUGAGAGACUUGGGAUAGGAUUAUCUCUGAUUCUAUUUCCUUGAAAUGGAAUCAACUUGCGAGUAAGGAUUCAAUGAAGGUGAUAAGAUGUCGAAUCAUCCACAAGAUUGUUGGUUUCACUUUUGUUGUCGAUGUGAGGAUAUCUUUUGUCCGUGAUCUAUAAGUAUUUCUUCAAGUGUUCUUGAAGCCUUGAUGAAUCUCGGAACCUAACUCAUCUAAACUCCAUUCACUGAAAAAAUAUGCAUAGUUAAAAUAUUAUUGCCACAAUUUAAACCUUCUAACCCCUUCAAUUUUCAUGUCUCUAGAACAUUCUAAUU
This 2194-nucleotide long non-coding RNA is filed under the name Medicago truncatula (barrel medic). Its description in RNAcentral is "lncRNA gene24678". The record is from RNAcentral. Lineage: Eukaryota; Viridiplantae; Streptophyta; Magnoliopsida; Fabales; Fabaceae.